AUUGAACGCUGGCGGCAUGCCUUACACAUGCAAGUCGAACGGUAACAGGUCUUCGGAUGCUGACGGGUGGCGAACGGGUGAGUAAUACAUCGGAACGUGCCCGAUCGUGGGGGAUAACGAGGCGAAAGCUUUGCUAAUACCGCAUACGAUCUACGGAUGAAAGCGGGGGAUCUUCGGACCUCGCGCGGACGGAGCGGCCGAUGGCAGAUUAGGUAGUUGGUGGGAUAAAAGCUUACCAAGCCGACGAUCUGUAGCUGGUCUGAGAGGAUGAUCAGCCACACUGGGACUGAGACACGGCCCAGACUCCUACGGGAGGCAGCAGUGGGGAAUUUUGGACAAUGGGCGAAAGCCUGAUCCAGCCAUGCCGCGUGCAGGAUGAAGGCCUUCGGGUUGUAAACUGCUUUUGUACGGAACGAAAAGCCUCUUUCUAAUAAAGAGGGGUCAUGACGGUACCGUAAGAAUAAGCACCGGCUAACUACGU
This 481-nucleotide ribosomal RNA is filed under the name uncultured bacterium. RNAcentral's name for it is "partial 16S ribosomal RNA". It matches the Rfam family "Bacterial small subunit ribosomal RNA", at positions 30 to 506 of the family's 1533-position model. The record is from RNAcentral.